This 1022-nucleotide ribosomal RNA is filed under the name Thysanorea amniculi. RNAcentral's name for it is "SSU rRNA". It matches the Rfam family "Eukaryotic small subunit ribosomal RNA", at positions 74 to 1107 of the family's 1831-position model. The record is from RNAcentral. Lineage: Eukaryota; Fungi; Ascomycota; Eurotiomycetes; Chaetothyriales; Herpotrichiellaceae.
UCAUACUGUGAAACUGCGAAUGGCUCAUUAAAUCAGUUAUCGUUUAUUUGAUAGUACCUUUACCUGGAUAACCGUGGUAAUUCUAGAGCUAAUACAUGCUAAAAACCUCGACUUCGGAAGGGGUGUAUUUAUUAGAUAAAAAACCAAUGCCCUUCGGGGCUCCUUGGUGAUUCAUAAUAACUUAACGAAUCGCAUGGCCUUGCGCCGGCGAUGGUUCAUUCAAAUUUCUGCCCUAUCAACUUUCGAUGGUAGGAUAGUGGCCUACCAUGGUCUUAACGGGUAACGGGGAAUUAGGGUUCUAUUCCGGAGAGGGAGCCUGAGAAACGGCUACCACAUCCAAGGAAGGCAGCAGGCGCGCAAAUUACCCAAUCCCAAUACGGGGAGGUAGUGACAAUAAAUACUGAUACGGGGCUCUUUCGGGUCUCGUAAUUGGAAUGAGUACAAUCUAAAUCCCUUAACGAGGAACAAUUGGAGGGCAAGUCUGGUGCCAGCAGCCGCGGUAAUUCCAGCUCCAAUAGCGUAUAUUAAAGUUGUUGCCGUUAAAAAGCUCGUAGUUGAACCUUGGACCUGGCUGAUCUGUCCUCCUAAUCGAGCGCACGGAUUCGGUCGGGUCUUUCCUUCUGGGGAGCCCUAUGCCCUUCACUGGGUGUAGUGGGGAACCAGGACUUUUACCUUGAAAAAAUUAGAGUGUUCAAAGCAGGCCUUUGCUCGAAUACAUUAGCAUGGAAUAAUAGAAUAGGACAUCGGUUCUAUUUUGUUGGUUUCUAGGACCGCUGUAAUGAUUAAUAGGGAUAGUCGGGGGCGUCAGUAUUCAAUUGUCAGAGGUGAAAUUCUUGGAUUUAUUGAAGACUAACUACUGCGAAAGCAUUCGCCAAGGAUGUUUUCAUUAAUCAGUGAACGAAAGUUAGGGGAUCGAAGACGAUCAGAUACCGUCGUAGUCUUAACCAUAAACUAUGCCGACUAGGGAUCGGACGGUGGUUUUUUUAUGCCCCGUUCGGCACCUUACGAGAAAUCAAAGUUUU